This 439-nucleotide ribosomal RNA is filed under the name uncultured bacterium. Its description in RNAcentral is "partial 16S ribosomal RNA". It matches the Rfam family "Bacterial small subunit ribosomal RNA", at positions 338 to 795 of the family's 1533-position model. The record is from RNAcentral.
CCUACGUGCGGCAGCAGUGGGGGAUAUUGCACAAUGGGGGGAACCCUGAUGCAGCGACGCCGCGUGGGUGAAGAAGCGCCUCGGCGCGUAAAGCCCUGUCAGCAGGGAAGAAAUGACGGUACCUGAAGAAGAAGCCCCGUCUAACUACGUGCCAGCACGCGCGGUAAUACGUAGGGGGCAAGCGUUAUCCGGAUUUACUGGGUGUAAAGGGGGCGCAGACGGCGAUGCAAGCCAGGAGUGAAAGCCCGGGGCCCAAACCCGGGACUGCUCGUGGAACUGCGUGGCUGGAGUGCAGGAGGGGCAGGCGGAAUGCCUGGUGUAGCGGUGAAAUGCGUAGAUAUCAGGAGGAACACCGGUGGCGAAGGCGGCCUGCUGGACUGCAACUGACGUUGAGGCCCGAAAGCGUGGGGAGCAAACAGGAUUAGAUACCCUAGUAGUC